Molecule: ribosomal RNA, 69 nt
Filed under: Serratia symbiotica
Lineage: Bacteria; Pseudomonadati; Pseudomonadota; Gammaproteobacteria; Enterobacterales; Yersiniaceae
Description: partial 16S ribosomal RNA
Rfam family: Bacterial small subunit ribosomal RNA
Source: RNAcentral
UUGAAUUGAAGAGUUUGAUCAUGGCUCAGAUUGAACGCUGGCGGCAGGCCUAACACAUGCAAGUCGAGC